AGCGAACGCUGGCGGCAGGCCUAACACAUGCAAGUCGAACGAAGUCUUCGGACUUAGUGGCGGACGGGUGAGUAACACGUGGGAACGUGCCUUUAGGUUCGGAAUAACUCAGGGAAACUUGUGCUAAUACCGAAUGUGCCCUUCGGGGAAAGAUUUAUCGCCUUUAGAGCGGCCCGCGUCUGAUUAGCUAGUUGGUGAGGUAAAGGCUCACCAAGGCGACGAUCAGUAGCUGGUCUGAGAGGAUGAUCAGCCACAUUGGGACUGAGACACGGCCCAAACUCCUACGGGAGGCAGCAGUGGGGAAUCUUGCGCAAUGGGCGAAAGCCUGACGCAGCCAUGCCGCGUGAAUGAUGAAGGUCUUAGGAUUGUAAAAUUCUUUCGCCGGGGACGAUAAUGACGGUACCCGGAGAAGAAGCCCCGGCUAACUUCGUGCCAGCAGCCGCAGUAA
RNAcentral lists this ribosomal RNA (448 nucleotides) under uncultured bacterium. Its description in RNAcentral is "partial 16S ribosomal RNA". It matches the Rfam family "Bacterial small subunit ribosomal RNA", at positions 29 to 523 of the family's 1533-position model. The record is from RNAcentral.